GUACGCUGGCGGCACGCCUAACACAUGCAAGUCGAACGCAGUAGCAAUACUGAGUGGCAAACGGGUGAGUAUAAUGUGGGAAUCUGCCUUUUGGUUUGGAAUAACACGGGGAAACUUGUGCUAAUACCGAAUAAGCCCUUACGGGGAAAGUUUUAAUGCCGAAAGAUGAGCCCGCACUUGAUUAGCUAGUUGGUAAGGUAAAAGCUUACCAAGGCAACGAUCAAUAGCUGUUCUUAGAGGAAGACCAGCCACAUUGGGACUGAGACACGGCCCAGACUCCUACGGGAGGCAGCAGUGGGGAAUCUUGCACAAUGGGGGAAACCCUGAUGCAGCGAUGCCGCGUGAGUGAAGAAGGCCCUUGGGUUGUAAAACUCUUUCGUCGGGGAAGAAAAUGACUGUCCCCGAAUAA
Molecule: ribosomal RNA, 409 nt
Filed under: uncultured bacterium
Lineage: Bacteria
Description: bacterial SSU rRNA
Rfam family: Bacterial small subunit ribosomal RNA
Source: RNAcentral